UACGAAGGGGGCUAGCGUUGUUCGGAAUUACUGGGCGUAAAGCGCACGUAGGCGGAUUUGUUAGUCAGGGGUGAAAUCCCGGGGCUCAACCUCGGAACUGCCUUUGAUACUGCAAGUCUCGAGUCCGGAAGAGGUGGGUGGAAUUCCUAGUGUAGAGGUGAAAUUCGUAGAUAUCUGGAGGAACACCGGUGGCGAAGGCGGCAUCCUGGACCAACACUGACGCUGAGGAGCGAAAGCCAGGGGAGCAAACGGG
RNAcentral lists this ribosomal RNA (253 nucleotides) under uncultured bacterium. RNAcentral describes it as "partial 16S ribosomal RNA". It matches the Rfam family "Bacterial small subunit ribosomal RNA", at positions 524 to 776 of the family's 1533-position model. The record is from RNAcentral.